Molecule: transfer RNA, 73 nt
Organism: Spizellomyces punctatus DAOM BR117
Lineage: Eukaryota; Fungi; Chytridiomycota; Chytridiomycetes; Spizellomycetales; Spizellomycetaceae
Rfam family: tRNA
About the family: Transfer RNA (tRNA) molecules are approximately 80 nucleotides in length. Their secondary structure includes four short double-helical elements and three loops (D, anti-codon, and T loops).
Source: Rfam
GCCCGGUUAGCUCAAUCGGUAGAGCGUGAGGCUCUUAACCUCAAGGUUGCGGGUUCGACCCCCGCAUCGGGCU